Molecule: non-coding RNA, 46 nt
Organism: Schistosoma haematobium
Lineage: Eukaryota; Metazoa; Platyhelminthes; Trematoda; Strigeidida; Schistosomatidae
Source: Rfam
ACCCAGCUGACGAGUGAGAAAAUAGAGCGAAACGCGCGUCCUAGAU